AAGGAUUUAAGUUAAAUAAACUCGUAGUCUUCAAAACUACUAAUAAAGAUCCAUCUUUAAGCCUUA
RNAcentral lists this transfer RNA (66 nucleotides) under Ochthebius lejolisii. Its description in RNAcentral is "tRNA-Trp". Lineage: Eukaryota; Metazoa; Arthropoda; Insecta; Coleoptera; Hydraenidae. The record is from RNAcentral.